CGGAUCUCCUUGUUCAUCUUCUUCCUGGAAGAGAAGUACCUGGCAACUUCCUUUUCCAGACCAAGCUCUCCUCCCCUUCUCCUCCGAAGGGCAGAUUGAAGGUCUUGCAAGUGUUCCUUCAUCAGGGACAGGGCGUCUCUGGUGCUACCACAUGCAUCCACAAGCCUCAGAGAUGCAUUCGACACAUCUUCUACCCAUAAGUCGUGUCGACCAUGGGAUAAGGCUUUUUGGAUGUGCGGCAACUGAGUCAAUUCGUCGAUGCAAUCGUAUAAAUCUGUGAGGCAACCCAAGUUCUGAUGCAGUGAAGAUGAGGAACAAGAGGAGGUGGCUUCUGAAGAAGACCUUAAUCUGCACAAUUGCUUCUCAACUCUUUGGGUGAGUGGGUGAGAUCGAGAGGGUAAGCUGAUGCAUCUAGCGUGCUUUGAGCUUGUAGUUGCAGAAGAGACGGCCAUUUUAGUUUCUUCCUUUCUCGCAAGAAAAAGAUAUGCACAAGGAAGUCUAGCACCCAAACCGUUAUUGAGUCCGAAUGAUAUCUCUAUUGGCCUCUCCUGUAUAUAUAUGUGCAUUGAUGCAAGGAAGAGAGGGAGACACGAGGAAUCUCUCCUCCUGCCACUUCAAGUCUCCUUCUUCUAGUCAUGUGCUUUCGCUUUGGAUCUGAGCUGCCAUGAUUCUUUCGGUCGGAGGGGUAAUAUAUGCAAGAAACAUUGCUACGACAUCAGGAAGUUCUACCACCACCGAUUCAGAACAAGAUUCUUUGUGUCUCUUCCUUGUUCUCAUCUAUAUAUCAGAUGCAUCUUUGGGACUUGGGAGUCCCUUCUCUUUAGGAUGAGUUAUGUUUCUCGGUGCUCGGUUUCUUCUACAAUGGGGAACAUGGCUGCCUCUGCUGCAAACUGUACAAUUUGUUUGUCAUGCUUCCUCUCUUAAGCUGUCCUCUAUUCUAUAUCUCAUCCUUGAAUGCCUCCAUGGAAGGGCAUUAGUUGUUUCUUUUGGUAGAAAAAGGGCAGUAGUUGCAGUUCGGGGAUUUAGAAGCCACUUCAUCAUAUUCAUCAGCGACGCAAUGGAUUUAAUGGAUGCCGUUGAAGAAUUGUGUGAUCAUGUUGAUGAUUUUCAUCGUCUACAGCUUGGCCAAGAAGUUUCACUCAGUAAUGACAUGAAAAAGGCAUAGUAGAUUUGGGCUGAGCUGGAUGUACCCUGUUUUUGGAUGUUUUUCCUUGCAAGUGACAUCUACUUACCAACCUAGGAUUGUUUUCUGUAUCUGCAAUUGCCAUUCUGGAAAUUAAGCAGGGAAGUUGGUAUAUAUUGGAGUAUAACUGUAUAAGCAUAGUUUCCCCUCUAGCUUGUGACAACAAAGUUAAUGCAACCUAGAGAAACAGGCAGGCAAUGGGAGCAGGUGGAGGGAAGAUAUCAUUGGGAAAGAGAACCUAGGUCUUGCAUGGAGGUCAUGCAUAUGGGGGAUGAAUUGGUUAUUUGGUUGUGAGUUAGAAUGUGAAAAGACGAGUCAAAUGUCUGGGAUCUUAAGGAUGGAUUGACUGUAUGUUAGCUAUUCGAUAAGAAUGAAUUGCCCACUCAACUUCCUCAAUGGAUUGCAAAUGAGUGCUCAGAUGAUCCGAGGUGAUAGUUCUGAAACAUGGUGACUGAUUUGGCUGCAAAAAGGGUGUCUGCAUAUUCCUCCGUUCAUCCCCUUUCCAUUUGGCAAGUUCUUUCCUAAUAGCUGCCUUCCACUUCUCCAUGUGUUGUUUUUGAAUAAUAGGAAUAUUCGAGAGCUGCUAUUUGUGGCUAAAGUGCAAAACCAGAGGGUUGCCCAUAAUUUUGACGGUUUGGAUUUGCCACUUUCAACCCACUAUGUGGAAGAAAACUCCACACUUCAGGCUUUAAAAUGCACAGCAUCAUAAAAGGACUCUCUGUUGAUCGACCCACAAAGCCAUUUUUGGUUGGUGAUCUCUUCGAUCUGCUAGGUCUUAGCUUAGUUGGCACCCAAACUUCAUGGACAUGUUGCCAUGUCAUUCUACUCGAGUGGCAACUUUAAGCACAAUGUAGUUUGCUUCACAGUAUAAUAGAGGUUCCUUUCCUAGACUGAUUUUGACCAGAAACAAAUCCAUCUAUUGAUUACCGAAGUUUAUAGAAGAAAAGUCAAUUAUAUGGUAGACCAUGAAGUUUACCACCCAGUUAGAAUGGCAAAAAUGAUUCCCCCUUGUCGUUCAAAUCACAUUAGUUGAUCACAUAGCAUUGCUUAAUGGCCCCUCCCGCAUUGCUUUGGAAAAAUAAAUCUCAAUUUAGCUUUAGCAUGAUUUGUGAUCUUUGUUCUUCUUUCUAACAUGUAAACAGUGUGUGUAUUAUUAGUUCGUGAUAUCCUGCUUAUGAUGCCAGUCAGUAAGACAGCAUGCAAUGUCACAUAAUUCAGAAUUUGAUGGCACCAGAUGAAAUCAAGUGUAAGUGAUUAUUACAUGAUAUCCUACUGAUGAUGCCAGUCAGUAACCCUGAGUUUAAUGUUACUUCAUAAUUUCAGAAUUAGAUGGCAUCAGCCAAGACCAAUUUGUGCUUAUUAUUUUCCAUAUUUCUCCCUUUGCAAAAAUCUCCCUGAUGUGCUUUUUGUUGUGAAACUUAUUGGUGACAUGUGACCGCCGAUUUGUUGAAGCAUUAUCAAUGUAAAAUAUUAAAAGAGGAAGUGUCAUGAAGCCACUAGAUCUAUUAGUGUUACCUAGUUUUCCUUCAUUUUAGACAAAAUGUAGCUGGAGUCCCUGAGAUAUUAAGCCGAUCAUUGAAACACUGAUAGCAGCUGACAAAUUUAUCAUCAUAAAAUGUAAUUAUACCACUUAAAUUAUUUGACUCU
Long non-coding RNA from Macadamia integrifolia, 2830 nucleotides. RefSeq lists it as uncharacterized. The record is from RefSeq and is a predicted model, not a curated record. The transcript has 2 exons. Lineage: Eukaryota; Viridiplantae; Streptophyta; Magnoliopsida; Proteales; Proteaceae.